GUAUUAAUUGCGUGUGAUCGCAAAAGAAAAACAUUCUACACUGUAUCGAGUUUGUGUGAAAACGUGAGCCCCCGAAAGGGGACCCACGCGGUGGUGCACAUAGGGGUGAGAUGGAUGUGUGAGAGUGCUCGGGCGUGCACGACCUUUAAAAAGGUCAGCGACAGCCCGGGCACCUCCGUUGUAUGAUAAUGAUCCUUCCGCAGGUUCACCUACGGAAA
This 218-nucleotide unclassified non-coding RNA is filed under the name uncultured fungus. RNAcentral describes it as "sequence contains ITS1". The record is from RNAcentral. Lineage: Eukaryota; Fungi.